CCCACACGUCAGAAAGAGCUGAGCGCCUGAUCAUUUCCUCUCCUUACUCUCUCUCUCUCUCUCCUCUAGCAUCCGCCAACGACUUCUCGCACCCACCGCACUCAUUUCUGUAUAUCGGCGGAGGAAGAUCAGCGAGAGUGAACGCAAGUGCAUAUUAGCACCAGGCUAUCGGCAUGCGCUUCUAGAAUCCGGCGAGGCAUCCGGGGGUCGAGGCAGGGGGGAUGGUAAGCUUCGAAACCAGAUCAGGUGAGUUCAUGCUCCAUGCACCCUGAAUCUCUCCAAACCUCUGAUUUGGGCGCUUUUUUUGUGCGGGACAACAACUUCUCAUGGGGCUUGGAAUCCAGUGGCGGAGGUUCAGAACCAGACAUCAACAACUUGUGUAACUUUUUCUGUGCUCUCUGGAAUCCAGUGGGGGAAAGUGCAGGUUUGUUCACAGUGGAAGGAUCCCUGCUAGAGGUAAAAACGCACAUAUGUAAGUCAAAUUGAUCCUCUCCCUCCUUCCCCAAUCUAGUAUGGGCUCUGUGUUUUUUUAGUUAGAUCUGUGUUUUGUCUACAUUCUGGUAGUGGUUUGUUAGGACGCGGAGGGAGGUAGGGGAUAUUGCACUGAUGAAUAGUUGUUGCUAUUUGAGUAAAUUAUAGAUUGCACUGAUGACAUAUUUGCUGUCUGAAUUUGUUUGCACUCAGAAACUGUGUUUUUUUUGUUGUCUGUACAUUUUAGUAUAUGACAUUUUUACUUCAUUAGUCUGAAUGGAGACUUUAGGAAAACACAUAUGGUUCUAUAUUAUCAAAAAAAUACUUCAUUAGGCAUUAAUAUGGUUCUGAUUAGGCAAUAAUAUGGAAAACUGAACUAAUUUUCUCCUAAACAGUAGCCAGCGAUUUGCACCUGCAGUUGUUCUGUAUUUUCUCUCUGAAUUUCAGGGGCAAGUUCAGCCUAUAGGUGCAGCUCAGUCUCUGUCUACCUGUCUUCUCCUAUUGCGGUAGCUUUUGGUUGAUUAGCAGCUCACGCAGGUAAUCUGCAAGAACAAAUGCAGGUAUUGCUUAACUUGUGUUUCGCAGCUCAUCCAGCAAUAGUAAUUUUUGAAUUAAUUCAGCUUGUCAGGUUUGUUCAGAGACACAUUGAGGUACAUAAUUGCACGAGCUAUUAUUUAAUCCUUUUGACAUAGAAGUUGUCUGAUUUGUUUAACCUCAUUUGUGGCCUGUAGCUUUUUUUCUUGCACUGCUAAAUUUAAUCAUCUAUUGCUGGGGGGGAUCAUGCUGCAGUUGCAUUGUUCUAGUAGCUAGCAGCUCUUUAUUUUUGUCUCAGCUAACAACUCAAGCUACUGAAACAUCACUUAUGUGCUUCAGAGCUUGCCUCUUGUGAAUUGGCUAAUUAGUAAGUUGGUUAAACAAUGCAUUAUAAGCAGCUUGGUUUGCUCGCUUGGAUCAGUUUUAUUGUGCAGGCAGGUCAAUUCAGUAGCUGCAGCUACAGCUCGUUCAACAGCUGCAAGUGGACAUAAAUAUCUCUUUCAUACUACAACUCCAGCGAUUAGGCAAUCAUUGCUUUCUUGGUCCAUGUUUUUAGUAAUCCUUUAAACUGCUCGUAAGCUCUAGUAAGUUUUUCAGUCUUAUAUGCAUACCUCUUAGUUAGCACUUGGAUUAAUCAUUUUGAAAAUUAGUCAGUGCUAAUUUUUGGCCAGCUCAUUGCCACGAUACUUUGAGAAAUUCCUAACCAUUCCUUGGAUGAGCCUGUCACUAGUUGGCUUGACAGUUACAAAAAAGGCGUGUUGGGUUGUAUCCGGAACAUGGGCCAUGUUUUUGGUGAAAAUUUUUAAAAGGCUCCCAUUCACCCCUUCCCACCCUCUAGUCACCUUAUCGGUCAUUCAAUUAUAGUUGAGAUACUACCAGUAUGACAUGCUUGCAGGUUACAGGUGCAUCUGAUUAGUUAUUGAACUUCUUUAGGCAAUUAGAAAGUAAGAAUAGGCAACUAAGUGUACUAUAAUCAAGCAGUAUUAGCGUAUGGUCAAAGUAAAACAGUGCAAAUCAUUGGGUAAUUUUUGUAGCGUUCUUUCUUCUCUAAUUUCUCUUUAUUUCUUCUGUUCUUACAUUCCAGGCACCCAAGUUAUCCAGGGGAAACCAAGUACAAUGCAUGUAGAAGAUAUGAUCUGCAUAUGAACUAGCUCAAGUAAAUACAUACAUAUGUAGUGAGAGCAAGUAAAUUUCUUGCAAUUUUUUAUCUAAAUAUGUACUUCAUUUGGCAAUAAUGUUGUUUAGAUUAGGCAAAUUAUGCAAUUGUUUUAGGCAAUAAUAUUUUUCUAAAUUAGGUGAUAUUAUGGACAGAAAUUUAGGAAAUAAUAUCUCUGUAUUAGCAAAAAUAUGAUCAUGGAUUAGGUUAUAUAGAACUAGCAAUGUUUGUAACCAGAGGUAUUCAGCCUUGCAGAUAUUUUAGUUCUCAAAUUAACUGCACUUGCUUUUCUUAUCGGUCAUACAGAAUAGUGUUUAGGACCUAAAAUCUGAUGUGCUUUUUUUCUGCUUGCAAGUUUCCUCAUCGAAUUGGCACUAUAACACUGUUUAGCUUGGUGUUUGGUGGUCUGAAUGGUCAUCAGAUUGUCAUCGGAAGCAGUUUAGUUGCGGCUCAAUCUCAAUUUUUAUUCAUGAGCAGCUUGGUAGUAGUUGUAGCUCUAAUCUUUUUGUUUGGUCAUUAAACAGUGGAGGCAAUCAGUUAAUCAUAUGUAUGCUGGUAGUUCGAAAUUUUGUUAAUCCUUAUAAUUUAGAUGGGGUGUUUUAUUGUUUGUGCGCGUCCUGUAGAGUUCCAUCAAAAAGUGCAUAAUUUUGUCAAAAAAAGAAAUCUAAGCCUGCCGUGAUUGUCUCCUUUUUCAAAAAUGGAGCGGCCGUACGGUGGGCCUAAAGAUUUGGGUUUUUUUGUCUUUUUUUUCAUCAGUGUGGUAAUCAGUGGGUGGCGGGGGAUAUCCCCUGCGCGUGGUGCGUUGAAGCACACAAACAGGUCAAGGUGAGCUUUCUCUCCCUCCUGUCUGCCCACGACGUACCCAAAACCACUCUCACCUGUGUGUCCAAUUGAGGUUUUGAUUUUUGGGGGGUUUUGCUUGGUGUUUGUUUUUUGGAGAUGGUCAUGAUCUCAUGGAGUAGGAUACUCGUGUGCCAUCCCCCGUUUGAUUUUCGCAGUCAUUAGCAGAGCACGUGCUUGGAUUAUUCUGGUUAAACAUCACGACUGUGAAUCGCAGGUGAGCUACCCUCAUUUCUGGGAUCAUUUUUCGAAAUAUGUUCCACAUUGUAUACUAAGCAUCUUUUCUAAUUAACACAGGCAUUAACCUAAUCAUAGACAGGCAACAAUGUUCUAUUAAAUAGGCGAAGUAUCAUUUAUGUGUUGGCUAGUUUAUGGGUAUUUCUAAUGUGUUUUUUUGCCCCUAUUUGAUAUGAUUUGCAUAACAAUUUGUGUAGAUUAUGCAAUAUGCUACUUGGUAUACUAGAUCAAUGUUCUUAAGGCGUUGAGGCGAGGUGUGGCGCCCUACCUCCUCUGGACGCCUAGGCGACGCCUAGGCGAGGCGAGGCGACGCCAUACACUAACGUAAAAGCAGCAUAUUAGCAGUAUAAUUAGCAGUAUAAAGGGGAAAAGAAAUGAGAAAAGAAGAAAGAAAAGAGAAAAGGCCCGAGAAGAAUGUAAGGCCCAGCCCACCAAGUCACUGCCAGCCCAUAAACUACUCAUCACUUCACCAGUCCUCCCGUGCCCUCCUCCCCGAGCGCCUCCCUCCGCGAGACACCUCCCCGCUGCCCGUCUCUCCCCGUGCUGGCGUGCCUCCUCCCUGGCCGUGCAGGGCUCAGGCGCCUCGGAAUCGGGCCAUCGUCCCUCCUUGAUUCCAGAUCUGCGAUGAGCGCCGCCCUACGGUCACGGAGCAUGCCUGCGCCGGCCAUCUUCCCCCAAGGUUAGCAGCACCGCCGGCCUCUGCUUUGACUCCGCACCGCCAGAAGGUCUCCCUGUGCCGGCGCGCCUCCUUCCCCGAGACCCCUCCCCACCGCCCGUGGUCCCUGACCCCCGGAUCUGCGAGGAACCAGAGCAGUCGCCGCCCUCCCUGCCAAGGUACGCCGCCCUCUCUCCGUGCACCCUCUCUCUUGGGGGCCAGAUCUCGCCGGCGCCGGUGCCGUCGAGGAUGAGGAAGGCAGAGGUCGUGCGCCUGCUAGUUCUGGUAACCUUCUUGCUCCUCCUUUCAUCUCCCAGUCGCUCCUUCCCCUUGCUCUUCCUCUCUUCUUGCUGGGCGUCGGCGACGCCUUGGCCUCCCUGAGCGCCUUGACGCCUUGGCGUCGCCUAGGCGACGCCUAGGCGACGCCGUAAGAACCAUGUACUAGAUUAGUUCUAAUGUACGGCUACCUUUUUGUUCAACAGACUGCAUUUUUCACAAACCUUUAUCUCAGUUUUGGCUCAGCGAAUCAGCAACUUAGCGUUUCAGCUUGAAUUACUUUUUUAGGCCAGCACCAUUUUUUAAGGCUCCCCACAUGUAAAACUAACCACAAGUUUUUAGGCUUCCCACAUUGUUUGAUAACAGCAGCUUCACCGCUGUAUAAAUCAGCCGAGAUUUACUGUUUUGGAACUUGCAGAAUGCCAUGUACUAGCUCCUGCUUGCCAACAACUGUCUGAGUGCAAUAUGAGGGAUUUGCAUCUUGAUCACCUAGGAAAUCAUAAUCAAAUUUUGGUGGUAGCUCUUUUAGAUCCAUUCUAUCAUGCUUUUUGCUUUUUUUCUAUUUUUUUUCAAACUGCGCAACAGCAAAUCUGAUUUUUUAGACAGCAGCAACAUAUAUGCAUCAAAGCAAUAUAAGUCAUUUAUAACAGGUAAUAAUGUGUUUCUAAAUAGGCAGAUUAGUAUUUCUUGUUUAAGCAAUUAUUCAUUUUGUUUUCUUCCAGAUUUCUUGCUUAACCAGUAUCAGCAAUAUAAGUCAUUUUAAAAGGCAAUAAUGUGUUUCUAAAUAGGCAGAUCAGUGUUUCUUGGUCAGGCAAUUAUGCAUAUUCUUUAGUUCCAUAUUUCUUGCUUAACCAACAUUGGAAUCACUAAUGAUUUUUUUUGCAUUUAAUUAGGUCUACAACAUUUAAUUAUACAUAUGGGGAUGGAGGACAACGAGGUGUAUCAACCCCAUCAGUUCAGAAACUUCAACAUACGCAGUUUAGUUUUGUCCAUCAAAAGCAACUUUUGAGAAUCACAACAGAUCUGUCCUGAGGCAAUGUGUGUUUGCAUUAAUACGAUUUUGUAGUUCUUUAAACUAAAUUUCUAUGCUUGUGACAUUUGACAGUUUUGUAUAAUGUGUGUAUACAUAAUCAUAUGUAUUCUGGAUGAAAUUAUAUAUUCUAUCCA
Panicum virgatum (switchgrass) is the source of this 5336-nucleotide long non-coding RNA. RefSeq lists it as uncharacterized. The transcript has 4 exons. The record is from RefSeq and is a predicted model, not a curated record. NCBI's taxonomy places the organism in Eukaryota, Viridiplantae, Streptophyta, Magnoliopsida, Poales, Poaceae.